This 944-nucleotide ribosomal RNA is filed under the name uncultured marine crenarchaeote. Its description in RNAcentral is "bacterial SSU rRNA". It matches the Rfam family "Archaeal small subunit ribosomal RNA", at positions 1 to 923 of the family's 1478-position model. Lineage: Archaea; Thermoproteati; Thermoproteota. The record is from RNAcentral.
UUCUGGUUGAUCCUGCCAGACCCGACUGCUAUCGAAGUGGGACUAAGCCAUGUUAGUCGAACGUCUUUCAACUAUGUGAUUGGCGUGGCGUACGGCUCAGUAACACGUUGUUAACCUACCCUCAAGACGUGGAUAACCCCGGGAAACUGGGAUUAAACCACGAUAGAUCAAGAUUUCUGGAAUGGAUUUUGUUCCAAAGGAAGGAUGAGCAUGUUCAUCUAUUUGCUUCAGGAUGGGACUGCGUCCGAUCAGGUUGUUGGUGGAGUAAUAGCCCACCAAGCCUGUAACCGGUACGGGCUUUGAGAGAAGGAGCCCGGAGAUGGACACUGAGAAAAGAGUCCAGGUCCUACGGGGCGCAGCAGGCGCGAAACCUUCGCAAUGCACGAAAGUGCGACGAGGCUACUUCGAGUGUCAUCCGCUGAGGAUGACUUUUGUCAGGUGUAAAAAGCCUGGAGAAUAAGGGGAGGGCAAGUCUGGUGUCAGCCGCCGCGGUAAUACCAGCUCCCCGAGUGGUCGGGACGAUUAUUGGGCCUAAAGCAUCCGUAGCCCGCUCUGUAGGUCUUCUGUUAAAUUCAACGGCUCAACCGUUGAGCUGCAGGAGAUACCGCAGGGCUAGGAGGCGGAAGAGGUAGACGGUACUCCAUGGGUAGGGGUAAAAUCCUCUGAUCCAUGGAAGACCACCAGUGGCGAAGGCGGUCUACCAGAACGCGCUCGACGGUGAGGGAUGAAAGCUGGGGGAGCGAACCGGAUUAGAUACCCGGGUAGUCCCAGCUGUAAACGAUGCGAGCUAGGUGACGGAGUGGUUCCGUACCAUUCCGGUGCCGCAGGGAAGCCGUUAAGCUCGCCGCCUGGGGAGUACGGUCGCAAGACUGAAACUUAAAGGAAUUGGCGGGGGAGCACCACAAGGGGUGAAGCCUGCGGUUCAAUUGGACUCAACGCCGGGA